RNAcentral lists this ribosomal RNA (1442 nucleotides) under metagenome. RNAcentral describes it as "bacterial SSU rRNA". It matches the Rfam family "Bacterial small subunit ribosomal RNA". The record is from RNAcentral.
CCUAAUACAUGCAAGUCGAGGGGCAGCAGGGGUAGCAAUACUCGCUGGCGACCGGCGCACGGGUGCGUAACACGUAUGCAACUUUCCUUCAACUGGAAGAUAGCCCGAAGAAAUUCGGAUUAAUAUUCCAUAGUUAUAUGAAAUGGCAUCAUUUUAUAUUUAAAGCUCAGGCGGUUGAAGAUGGGCAUGCGUUCGAUUAGCUAGUUGGUGAGGUAAUGGCUCACCAAGGCUACGAUCGAUAGGGGAUCUGAGAGGAUUAACCCCCACACUGGUACUGAGACACGGACCAGACUCCUACGGGAGGCAGCAGUAAGGAAUAUUGGACAAUGGAGGCAACUCUGAUCCAGCCAUGCCGCGUGAAGGAUGAAGGUCCUAUGGAUUGUAAACUUCUUUUGAACGGGAGAAAACCUUCGGUCGUGUACCGAAGCUGAUAGUACCGUUAGAAUAAGGGUCGGCUAACUUCGUGCCAGCAGCCGCGGUAAUACGAAGGACCCGAGCGUUAUCCGGAUUUAUUGGGUUUAAAGGGUGCGUAGGCGGAAUGGUAAGUCAGUGGUGAAAUCUUGUGGCUUAACUGCAAAACUGCCAUUGAUACUGCCAAUCUUGAGUACAUUUGGUGUGGGCGGAAUGUGCCAUGUAGUGGUGAAAUACUUAGAUAUGGCACAGAACACCGAUCGCGAAGGCAGCUCACAAAACUGUUACUGACGCUGAGGCACGAAAGCGUGGGGAUCAAACAGGAUUAGAUACCCUGGUAGUCCACGCCUUAAACUAUGAUUACUCGAUGUGUGCGAUACACAGUACGCGUCUAAGCGAAAGCGUUAAGUAAUCCACCUGGGGAGUACGGUCGCAAGAUUGAAACUCAAAGAAAUUGACGGGGGCCCGCACAAGCGGAGGAGCAUGUGGUUUAAUUCGAUGAUACGCGAGGAACCUUACCUGGGCUUGAAAGUUAGUGAAUGCUGUGGAAACAUGGCAGGCCGCAAGGACACGAAACUAGGUGCUGCAUGGCUGUCGUCAGCUCGUGCCGUGAGGUGUUGGGUUAAGUCCCGCAACGAGCGCAACCCCUAUCUUAGUUGCCAGCGAGUAAUGUCGGGGACUCUAAAGAAACUGCCCGUGCAAACGGUGAGGAAGGUGGGGAUGACGUCAAGUCAGCACGGCCCUUACGUCCAGGGCUACACACGUGCUACAAUGGCGAGUACAAAGGGCAGCUACAUGGUGACAUGAUGCUAAUCUCUAAAACUCGUCUCAGUUCGGAUUGAAGUCUGCAAUUCGACUUCAUGAAGCUGGAUUCGCUAGUAAUCGAAUAUCAGCAAUGAUUCGGUGAAUACGUUCCCGGGCCUUGUACACACCGCCCGUCAAACAAUGGAAGCUGAGGGUACUUAAAGUCGAUAACCGCAAGGAGUCGCCUAGGGUAAAAUCGGUAACUGGUGUUAUGUCGAAACAAGGUA